AUACGUAGGAUGCGAGCGUUAUCCGGAUUUAUUGGGUUUAAAGGGUGCGCAGGCGGGAUCUUAAGUCAGCGGUGAAAGUUUGCAGCUUAACUGUAAAAAUGCCGUUGAAACUGUCGGACUUGAGUGUAAAUGAGGUAGGCGGAAUGCGUGGUGUAGCGGUGAAAUGCUUAGAUAUCACAAAGAACUCCGAUUGCGCAGGCAGCUUACUAAACUACAACUGACGCUCAGGCACGAAGGCGUGGGUAUC
Molecule: ribosomal RNA, 247 nt
Filed under: uncultured bacterium
Lineage: Bacteria
Description: partial 16S ribosomal RNA
Rfam family: Bacterial small subunit ribosomal RNA
Source: RNAcentral